UACGGAGGGUGCAAGCGUUAUCCGGAUUUACUGGGUUUAAAGGGUGUGUAGGCGGGCUUUUAAGUCAGUGGUGAAAUCUCCGGGCUCAACCUGGAAACUGCCAUUGAUACUAUUAGUCUUGAAUUUUGUUGAGGUAGGCGGAAUAAGUCAUGUAGCGGUGAAAUGCAUAGAUAUGACUUAGAACACCAAUUGCGAAGGCAGCUAACUACAGGGUUAUUGACACUGAGGCUCGAAAGCGUGGGGAUCAAACAGG
This 253-nucleotide ribosomal RNA is filed under the name uncultured bacterium. RNAcentral's name for it is "partial 16S ribosomal RNA". It matches the Rfam family "Bacterial small subunit ribosomal RNA", at positions 524 to 776 of the family's 1533-position model. The record is from RNAcentral.